RNAcentral lists this ribosomal RNA (260 nucleotides) under uncultured bacterium. RNAcentral describes it as "partial 16S ribosomal RNA". It matches the Rfam family "Bacterial small subunit ribosomal RNA", at positions 333 to 590 of the family's 1533-position model. The record is from RNAcentral.
AUUAUCCUACGGGGGGCAGCAGUGAGGAAUAUUGGUCAAUGGGCUAAGGCCUGAACCAGCCAAGUCGCGUGAGGGAAGACGGUCCUAUGGAUUGUAAACCUCUUUUGUCGGGGAGCAACGAGGCCACGUGUGGCCGAAGUGAGAGUACCCGAAGAAUAAGCGCCGGCUAACUACGUGCCAGCAGCCGCGGUAAUACGUAGGGUGCGAGCGUUAAUCGGAAUUACUGGGCGUAAAGGGUGUGCAGGCGGUUUUUCAAGAUG